GUGCUCGUGUUAGCAGCACAUAUACUGAGGUUGAAACGGUACAGUGGAAAUUUGCAUGGCCCUUGCGUCAGAAUGACAUAGAUUUAUAAAGUUCAUAUUUUU
This is a small nuclear RNA of Nomascus leucogenys (northern white-cheeked gibbon), 102 nucleotides long. The record is from Ensembl. NCBI's taxonomy places the organism in Eukaryota, Metazoa, Chordata, Mammalia, Primates, Hylobatidae.